AAAAAAAAAGGAAGAAAUACACUGAAACUUUUACCUCCUAAUUCAUCGGCACAAUAUAUAAAUGUAGGUCAGUGGCUCACCUCUUUCUUCUCUUUUUCCCACUUUGAGUUUCUGCAAUUGCCACCGUAUGUAACUUUGAUUAAGUAUUCUGCAUUUCAUUAGGAGGCCACAGGGUUUAGGGGAAGGAGCAGUGAAGUUCCACAGCAUAAACAAGCAUUAACAGCAGAAGGCUCUUUUACAAGGUUGGCUCUGUCAGCACAGACUUCAAAGACACAAAUCCCUUCCAAUUUAAAGAAGAGAUAUGCUGCAACAUUAGACCAGGUUCUCCUGGCGGUGUUCAUGUACUACAUCUACUCACCUUUUAAGUUAAUGAAGAUUUAACAUGAAAUGAAAAUCACUGGCACAAAACAAAAGCAACAGAAAUUUGUGACAAGAAAUCACGAAGAGGAGAGGAGGCACGGGCUCUGCUAAGUCAAGCCUGCGCAGGUGUGCAAAACACAGGGUGACUAUAUGCUUUGUGAUAAUGACUUUAUGCUUAGAAUCAAAGCAGCAAAACUUCAAUAUUUCAUGUUACCACAGUGGCUUGGCAGGCUAAAAAUUUAAUAAGUGCUAUCUAAACUAAUGGCAGUGCUUCAGACUAGGGGGAAAAAAAAAGAUACACUAGAUUAAGCAUUCUAAUGGCUGCUAAUGAAACUUAAAAGAAUAUAGAUCAUCUUCUCUUGAAUUAAAUGACUCACUCUAAAUAAGAAUAGUUAAGACACAUAAUCACGGCCCACAGCUGAGUCUGCGGAAGAUUCUGCUGCAGAGCUGAUGAUUAUGUGAGGCUCUCAGGAAAGCAGAACCACUGAGUAAGGGACUUGUGUGAGGCAGUAGCUGGAAGGGGUCUGUUAGCACAGCCAGCGCGGCCUGCCCAACUCCUCUCCAGUGUGAGAGUCGAUGGUUAUAAAUCACCUAGGAUUAGGGCCCUGGAAGAGGCAGAGGUAAAAAGAACAAGAUAAAUUAUUUGGAUUCUAAAGGCAAAAUUUAAGUGUCAUUUGCUCCAUAAAAUCUUUCAUGGUCAUCCCAGUCAACCCACACAGAUCUCAUUCAAAUAACUAGGCAUUUUCUCUGCCAUUCAUUUGUAACAUUUAAGAAGCUGGGUUUUAGUGCUGGCUAUCAUACCAGUUUGACUGCCUUAUAUAUUUAACUAGAUCAAUAAUUCUUCCUGGAAGAAUAUUCCUCUCUCCCCCUCCCUCUCUAAUUUUUUCCCCCUCCCUCCCUCCUUUGUAGCCAUCCACAGAAUUUACCACAAUACCUUCCUUUUAAUCAUUGUUCAGUGAUUAGAAGGUAAUAUUUAGAGUCUUAAGAGGUUGGCAAGCAUGGUCUGGGGAGGUGUGAUGUUAAGUAAACAGUUUUUCUUCAAUGUUUCUUCAUUCUCUUAAAGUGGACAU
Sapajus apella (tufted capuchin) is the source of this 1430-nucleotide long non-coding RNA. RefSeq lists it as uncharacterized. The transcript is spliced from 2 exons. NCBI's taxonomy places the organism in Eukaryota, Metazoa, Chordata, Mammalia, Primates, Cebidae. The record is from RefSeq and is a predicted model, not a curated record.